CAGUAACAAUCACUAAAUUAUUUAUAUCUCAAUAUACAUAAUUCAAAAUUAAUAUCCUCUUUUUUUUUUUUUUAAACUAGACUCAUUGAAGUUUUUACUAUAAAAUUUUAGAAUUUAUACCUAAGCCAAUAAAUACAGUUUAUUCUUCAAGUCUUCUCAUGUUCUGCUUCUAAGCAGCAAUGACCCUUCUUCACUAAAAAUUAAAUAUAUUUUAAUACAAAUCUCGUAUUAUGUUACCAUUUGUUUUUCUUGAUAGACUCAUUAAUCUUUCAGGUAUAUAAACUUAAUCACCUAAACAUUUUUGUACAAUUUAUAAUGAAUUUUCAAAGUUAGAAUAGAGGGACCC
Molecule: long non-coding RNA, 346 nt
Filed under: Gossypium barbadense (sea-island cotton)
Lineage: Eukaryota; Viridiplantae; Streptophyta; Magnoliopsida; Malvales; Malvaceae
Description: long non-coding RNA (GBAR_LNC014450)
Source: RNAcentral